Molecule: ribosomal RNA, 478 nt
Filed under: uncultured bacterium
Lineage: Bacteria
Description: partial 16S ribosomal RNA
Rfam family: Bacterial small subunit ribosomal RNA
Source: RNAcentral
GAUGAACGCUGGCGGCGUGCUUAACACAUGCAAGUCGAACGGGAAAUAUUUCAUUGAGACUUCGGUGGAUUUGAUUUAUUUCUAGUGGCGGACGGGUGAGUAACGCGUGGGUAACCUGCCUUAUACAGGGGGAUAACAGUCAGAAAUGGCUGCUAAUACCGCAUAAGCGCACAGAGCUGCAUGGCUCAGUGUGAAAAACUCCGGUGGUAUAAGAUGGACCCGCGUUGGAUUAGCUAGUUGGUGGAGUAACGGCCCACCAAGGCGACGAUCCAUAGCCGGCCUGAGAGGGUGAACGGCCACAUUGGGACUGAGACACGGCCCAGACUCCUACGGGAGGCAGCAGUGGGGAAUAUUGCACAAUGGGGGAAAACCUGAUGCAGCGACGCCGCGUGAAGGAAGAAGUAUCUCGGUAUGUAAACUUCUAUCAGCAGGGAAGAUAGUGACGGUACCUGACUAAGAAGCCCCGGCUAACUACGUG